Molecule: long non-coding RNA, 284 nt
Filed under: Nicotiana benthamiana
Lineage: Eukaryota; Viridiplantae; Streptophyta; Magnoliopsida; Solanales; Solanaceae
Description: long non-coding RNA (NBEN_LNC001876)
Source: RNAcentral
AUUACUGAAAAUAUCAAUGAAGAUAUAAUUCUUGGUGUGCUUUCAUAAGUCAGUUAAAACCUUACACUGAUGAUUUGGGUGGCAUUCAUGCAUGUAUCCUUGGUCAAAAGGUAUUUUUUCCUUUUGUUAAAUCUCUUUCUCAUGAAGAAAGCCUGUUUUUAAAGGAUAACACUGUUUUUAAAAUUAAUCAUCUUUCUAAUCAUAUUUCUUUUAUUAAGGAAGAAAUAAAGAUUGAACUAAUUAAACAAACUUUAAAAACCCCGGGAAUGGUGGCUAAGAUCGAU